AGAAGACAGCUCAGAGCUUAGCAACUUUGCGAAUAUGUUUGUGCCUGAUUAGCCCUGGAAGGCAGCGGCUGUGAGCAGUGCACUAAAUAUGACAAGGAAAGGUGUGGCUUCUUGCCCUUUGAUCUUGAGGACCCCCUCCCCUAAAUCUUGGAUCUAUGUUGAAGAAUGAUCCAGAUUCCAGAAUCACAGACUCAGAGAUGACUAAGGGAGGAAGAACCCAGGAUCUGCAGCACUCAGGCUGAAAAAUGCAUGAAGGCCAUUUCUCCCUAGGAAAAGACCAGAGCAGUUUCACUAAAUCCUUCUUUGUCUGGACAGUAAUUAAUAUUAUAAUCCGUAGGUAAGAUGCCCUAAACCUCAGGGCAGUGCACAGCUGGGAGACCCUCCCCCUGACCCAGCAAUAGGGCCUUGCCAAGUCUCUGUCUCCCCCCACCACUGCCUUAUAAACAAGAUCAGGUUACAACAUCCUCCAAUAUCGGGCUCAUCCGCAUGGCUCGGGUCAGUUUUUACACACGGGCUACAAAAAGGGCAAAAAAGGCAGAAACACUGAACCUGCAGAUUUUGUGAUCUUCUAGAUCAUAAGGGGAUUACUGUAGAACUGGAAACAAUAUUUUUACUAAUAUGUUUAAUUCUCUUUCUAUACAUGACAGCAUUAAUGCUUGAAUAAACUAAUAAUUAUCAUACAGAUCACACGUACAUAUUCCUCUUACAGUAAACUUAGAUCCCCGACAUACAUACAGGGUAGGGUUGCCCUAUAUGGAUCAUUUAGGUUGAUUUUAUAUUAAAAAUACCGGCAAUGCAGU
Hyla sarda is the source of this 800-nucleotide long non-coding RNA. RefSeq lists it as uncharacterized. Lineage: Eukaryota; Metazoa; Chordata; Amphibia; Anura; Hylidae. The transcript has 3 exons. The record is from RefSeq and is a predicted model, not a curated record.